Molecule: unclassified non-coding RNA, 4524 nt
Filed under: Hevea brasiliensis (rubber tree)
Lineage: Eukaryota; Viridiplantae; Streptophyta; Magnoliopsida; Malpighiales; Euphorbiaceae
Source: RNAcentral
AAAUCCUCCCCUUGUGUAUAUAAAUAUCAAAUAGAAUAGUUCAAAGGGAGCAUCCAAUAUCCAGAUCACUGAAAGUUAAAAAGAGGUAGCUAGCAAAGCAGAUGGGUUUGAGGGUGAGGCAUCAUUUAUCUUCAUCAUCUGCUCACUUUUGCCUCUUUGUCAUCUUCAUUUUCCUUUGCUUUCCUUUCUACGAUGCUCAAAAUGCUACUACUGAUCCAUCUGAAGUGAGGGCAUUGAACUUGCUAUUAGGGGGAUGGGAUGCACAAGCUGUGGCACUGUGGAACAUAAGUGGAGAACCUUGCAGUGGAUCUGCCAUUAAUGCUACAGAUUUUAAGGACGGAGACAACAAUCCAGCGAUCAAGUGUGAUUGUUCCUACAACAACAAUAAUACAUGCCAUAUCACCCAAUUGAGAGUUUAUGCUUUGCAAAAAAGGGGAACAAUCCCAGAAGUAAUUGUGGCUUUGAAAUAUUUGACUUUGCUGAAUAUUGAUCAAAAUUACUUCACAGGUCCCUUGCCUGCAUAUAUUGGAAAUUUAUCAUCAUUGAAGACUUUGUCCAUCGCUCAUAAUGCAUUUUCUGGGAGCAUUCCAAAGGAAAUUGGAAAUCUUAAGGAGCUAACCUCAUUGUCAAUAGGAGAAAAUAACUUCAGUGGAACACUCCCUCCAGAAAUAGGCAAUCUUGUCAAACUCGAGGAACUUUAUAUUAACAGCUGUGGAGUGGGUGGUGAAAUUCCCUCAACAUUUGCCAAUCUUAAAAGCAUGAGAGUCUUGUGGGCAUCAGACUCUGCGUUCUCAGGCAAGAUACCUGAAUUCAUAGGGAAUUGGACAAAGCUUCAACAAUUGAGAUUUCAGGGGAAUUCUUUUAAAGGUCCCAUACCAUCCAGCUUUUCUAAUUUGACAUCUUUGGAUUCCUUGCGAAUUAGUGAUAUGCACAAUGUGAGUUCAACUCUUGAUUUUAUCAAGAAUUUGAAGAGUUUGUCUGAAUUGUAUCUGAGGAAUGCAUUGAUCAGUGACACUAUUCCAUCUGACAUUGGAGAAUAUACAAGAUUACAAAGGCUGUAAGUUAUAGCCAUAAUAAAGAACCUUAACUUGCAAAAUCUUUACUGAAAUUUAGUUAUAUAUCUAAGAUUUAUUUUGAUGAUUGAUAUUUCAAAUCAAGGUAGAGUAAAUGUUUUUUCAAAGAAAAAUUAUAAACCACUAACAAUUCAAAUAUAUAUCUCAUCAUUUCAAAGACUUGUUUCAAUUUUUUUUAUAAGCAUAAUUUUUAUUAAUAUAUAAUGAGAAAAAACUUAACAUGGGAUCAUCUAGCUAGACCUAGAUCAAUCGAAUUACCCAUACAAAUCUCACUUAAGACGAAUCAUGUUAAGUGAAAAAACAUGGUAGGAAAUACAUCAAAACAUGGCCAAAGGAAAAGGAAGAUAAGCCAAGUAGACAAGCAUCUAGUGAAAAGAUAAGGACAGCAAGUUACAAGCCAAAAAGCAACCAGCCUGAUGCAGAACCUGUUAUAAAUAUGCAAUGAAAUCAAGUUAUAAAUCUCAUUUCAUUUGUUUGACUUCUUUUUGUCUAAAUGCUUGCAGGGAUUUUAAGUUUCAACAACUUAACGGGCCCAAUUCCAAGUUCUUUGUUCAAUAUGAGUUCUCUUGAAUCCUUGUUUCUUGGAAACAAUAGCCUAUCUGGAAACCUUCCUAAUCAGAAAAGUAAUACUCUUCAGACUAUGUAAGUCCUCAUACUAAGCUUAGGAAGUUUUUAUAUCUUUAACAUACUCCUAUAUGAAAUUCAUUAAUAAAUAUAUAUUCAUUUUAUCGUGUAUUUAAAUUUAUUUAGCAAUAAUGCACUCAGAAUUCAAACUCUAUGAUUGUGUUUAUAAAUGCUCUGCUAAUAUGUCAAAGAACCACUCAAGUUAAGCUUGAACCUACAAUGGAGGCCAAUGAUAGAUUUAAUAAUUUAUUACAAGCCUUCUCACCAUUGCUAAUAAAUUUUUUCAUGCAGAGAUUUAUCUUACAAUUAUCUUUCAGGAAGUUUUCCUUUAUGGGUAUCCUCCAAUCUACAAUUGUAUGUGUCCCUAAUCAUGCAAUCAUCUUAAUUUUUUUGGGAUUAGCUAUAUAAUUGCUUGAAGCCUUAUCUCUGAUCACCAAAUUGUCAUGUUUCGUCAUCUUUGCAUCUUAACCAUUGCAUGAAACUAUGCAGGAAUUUAGUGCCAACAAUUUCACAUUUGACAGCUCAAACAUAAGGUGGAUUCCCCUUCAUUAGAUAAUUAGUUAAUUAUUCAAUCUAUAAUUAAUAUUGUAAAUUAAGAAAAAGCAAAGCUAUUACAGUGUUACGUUUAGAAUUGAAUAUAUUUACUUUUACAUUUUCCAAUUUUAAUAAAUAAUAGUAUUAAAUUUCUUAUAAUGCAGUGUUUUACCACAACUGAACUGUCUGCAGAGAAAUUUUCCUUGCAAUAGAGAUCUUCCACGCUAUGCAAAUUUUGCAAUCAAGUGUGGUGGUCCAGAGAGGAAAACUAGUGACGGAAUAGUGUUUGAAGCUGAAAACUCAUCUCUAGGUGCAGCAUCCUUCAAUGUGACUAGCAGUGAAAAAUGGGCAGUCAGUAACGUGGGUUUGUUUACUGAUAGAAUUAAUCCAGCUUACGUUGAAAAUACAUUGGCACAAGUGACUAGCACCAAUGCUCCAGAGCUUUAUCAAACUUCAAGGAUAUCUCCAAGUUCACUUAGGUACUAUGGCCUUGGUCUUGAGAAUGGAAAUUACACCAUUAGCUUGUUCUUUGCAGAAACUGCAUUCGACGAUCGAAGCUCACAAACUUGGGAGAGUCUAGGAAGACGCAUUUUCGACAUCUAUAUCCAAGGAAGUCUCCGAUUGAAGGACUUUGACAUAUCAAAGGAAGCAGGGGGGGUUAGGAAGGCAUUUGUAAGCAAAUUUAAUGCUACUGUAUCAGAAAACUAUCUUGAAAUUCACCUAUUUUGGGCUGGAAAGGGAACUUGCUGCACCCCUGUACAAGGGUAUUAUGGACCAAUCAUUUCAGCACUCAGUGUUGUUCCAGAUUUUAUGCCUACUGUUAGUGGGAUACCGCCACAUACUCGUAAAGAGAAGGAAAAAACAGGGUUGAUUGUUGGUGUUACUCUCUCUGCUGCAAUUGUAGGCUUUAUUUUGUUGUUUGCGUUUCUUUACUUCAACGGAAAAACGAGGAAAGAUGACGAGGAUGUGUUUGUUGGGAUUGAUUAUAAACCCAACACAUUUAGCUAUGCUGAAUUGAGAACAGCCACAGAAGACUUUAGCCCUUCAAAUAAGUUAGGAGAGGGAGGAUUUGGACCUGUGUACAAGGGUACGCUUUUUGAUGGAAGAGAAGUGGCGGUUAAGCAACUUUCAGUAGAAUCAAGCCAAGGAAAUAGUCAAUUUAUAACUGAGAUAGCUACCAUAUCUGCUGUUCAACAUCGCAAUCUUGUCAAAUUAUAUGGAUGUUGCAUUGAAGGAAAUAGACGCCUGUUGGUCUAUGAAUAUCUUCAGAACAAAAGCCUUGACAAGGCACUCUUUGCAAAAAAUAGCUUUCAGCUUGAUUGGCCAACCCGCUUCAAUAUAUGCAUUGGAACUGCAAAAGGAUUAGCUUAUCUUCAUGAAGAGUCAAGGCCAAGGAUUGUACAUAGAGAUGUGAAGGCAAGUAAUAUUUUGAUUGAUGCAGAACUCUGCCCCAAAAUAUCUGAUUUUGGACUGGCAAAGCUCUAUGAUGAUAAGAAAACCCAUAUCAGCACUCGAAUUGCAGGCACCAUAGGGUAUUUGGCACCUGAGUAUGCAAUGCGUGGACAUUUGACAGAGAAGGCUGAUGUCUUUAGUUUUGGAGUUGUUGCUUUAGAGAUUCUGAGUGGAAGGCCAAACUCUGAUAAUAGCUUAGCCAAGGAACAAAUUUAUCUUCUUGAAUGGGCAUGGAGUUUGCAUGCAAAUAACCAAAGUUUGGCACUAGUGGAUCCAAACUUAACUGAUUUGGAUGAAAAUGAAGCUCUUAAGGUCAUAGGGGUUGCUCUCUUGUGUACUCAAGGCUCACCAAUGAUGAGACCAACAAUGUCACGUGUUGUAGGCAUGCUUGCUGGAGAUAUCGAAGUGAAUGCUAUAGUAUCAAAGCCAAGCUAUUUGACUGAUUGGGAUUUUAAGGAUAUAACCUCUAGCUUUUCAAAUCAAGAUUCUACUAAAUCCAUUGAAGCUGAAAGUAGCAAAAACAACAAUAAUAAUACAGGGGUUGAUACAAUGGAUACUCCAUUAAAUCUCACUGUGUCUAGCCUCACUGAUCUUAUUGGGGAAGGAAGGUGAUAAUUGGUAUAUAUGCUAUUUCUAAAAUUUGCAUCUUCUUGUUGUUGAAUAAAAUUCCUCUCUUCCAUUUCUUGUAUAUAUGUUACAAUUUUGAGAGUGAAUAACUGAAUAUGAUUUUUGUAUAUGUAGUCUAAUAUGGAAAGUUCAUGUUUGCUUCAAUUUAAACUUUUAAGUUAGAAUAUAUCUUAUAUAUACUUCGAUUUUUUUUUUUAAUAAAAAGACUAUUAAA